Ictalurus punctatus (channel catfish) is the source of this 702-nucleotide long non-coding RNA. Lineage: Eukaryota; Metazoa; Chordata; Actinopteri; Siluriformes; Ictaluridae. The record is from Ensembl.
UGCCUAUAUUUCCUUUCUCGUUCUGUUAGACAUCAGUCUUUUACCACCGUUAAACAUAAAUCAUCUACUGCCCGGUGUGUCCCCGAAGGUGCAAUCCUCGCUCUACUUUUUUUCACCGUAUUUAUGCUUGUUUCUUAGCCAGAUCAUUCAUAAACCGGGUUUUACCGUAACUCCAUCGGUUAGGAAUAUAAUUUCUCGCAGUACUCGGCCCCCCACAGCCCUUCCUUCCACCCCGUUACCUGAACGCUUUCAUGAUGGAGUCCAGCAGAGGUACAACCCAUUAAAGCAACAAAUCCAAACGAUCGUCUUGAGCAUCAUGUAAAGGAGGAUGAGAUGGAAGCAAAUGCAGCAACAGCUCUUGGGUACCAAUCUACAGUAUCCAGUAAGCGCUUUGUUCUGGUCGGGGUUGGGGUGGAUCCGGAGUCUAUCCCGGUGAAUACCGGUCUCGAGGCGGGAAUCUGACCCGGAUGGGACACCAGUCCAUCGUAGGUCACACAAAUAUUAACACCAUGGGGCUGUUCAGAGCGGGCAAUCCAUCUGGCAUGUUUUUGGGAGGUGGAGGAAACCGGAGAACCCACAGGAAACCCACAUGGACAAGGGAAGAAAGUGGAGGGAAACUCCAUGCAUUGCUUAGAGCAAUUAAAUAGUAGAACUGGGCAUCAUGAAUCAUUGACAAACAGAUGGCCACUGAGUGUUAUACCC